GAUAAGUCCAGACAGCUGAGUUUGACAUGGCCUCCCUCUCUCUCUGCUGUUAUGCCUGGGACAUUACCAUUCAGAAGGGACGUCCGUAUAUGGCCGGGAUUGGAAACACUAAAAAUAGUCCCUGGGAGACACAAAUCCAGUCAAGGUUUACCUCUGAAAAACCAAAGGACUUACCAUUGUGAAAACAUCUGCAACGGGCAGUUGAACUGAUUCCAGAGGCUGAUCCGAAACACCGCCGGCGGAGAAGAGGUAUUCGGAGUGGUCUCCUAGUCCGACUCAUGUUGAAUGAUUAACUACUUAUGGUGUGAUUGUGAUAACAUACAGAAACUCAAGUCCUUUUUUUCACCCGACCUAGAAUAACUCACAAUCAAAUGCCAUCCAUAUUACCUCCCAAGAGAAUUCUCUUCGGUAACAGUCACAUCCUUGUAUAUUUCCCCUCAAGCCAAUACCACGACAGCCUUCAAAGAACUACAUUGGACUCUAUGCAAACAGGAAUCCUCAUAUCCUGAGGCUGCAGUUAUUGUAUCCGGGGAUUUUAACAAAGAUAAUCUGAGGAAAACGCUACCAAAGUUCUACCAACACAUUGACUGUAGCACUCGCUCUGAGAAAAUAUUGGACCACUGGUACUCAGCUUUUUGAGUUCCCUCGCCCUCCCUUCGGCAAAUCUGAUCACGAUUCCAUUUUGCUCCUCCCUUCCUAUAGGUAGAAACUCAAACAGGAAGUACACGUGC
Molecule: long non-coding RNA, 731 nt
Organism: Oncorhynchus tshawytscha (Chinook salmon)
Lineage: Eukaryota; Metazoa; Chordata; Actinopteri; Salmoniformes; Salmonidae
Source: Ensembl